RNAcentral lists this ribosomal RNA (429 nucleotides) under Fusobacteriota bacterium. RNAcentral's name for it is "Fusobacteria bacterium partial 16S ribosomal RNA". It matches the Rfam family "Bacterial small subunit ribosomal RNA", at positions 355 to 776 of the family's 1533-position model. The record is from RNAcentral. Lineage: Bacteria; Fusobacteriati; Fusobacteriota.
UGGGGAAUCUUCCGCAAUGGACGAAAAUCUGACGGAGCAACGCCGCGUGAGUGAAGACGGCCUUCGGGUUGUAAAGCUCUUUGAUCCGGGACGAAAGAGCCUGAGGUGAAUAGCCUAAGGAAGUGACGGUACCGGAAAAGCAAGCCACGGCUAACUACGUGCCAGCAGCCGCGGUAAUACGUAGGUGGCAAGCGUUGUCCGGAAUUAUUGGGCGUAAAGCGCGCGCAGGCGGCUUCCUAAGUCCAUCUUAAAAGUGCGGGGCUUAACCCCGUGAUGGGAUGGAAACUGGGAAGCUGGAGUAUCGGAGAGGAAAGUGGAAUUCCUAGUGUAGCGGUGAAAUGCGUAGAGAUUAGGAAGAACACCGGUGGCGAAGGCGACUUUCUGGACGAAAACUGACGCUGAGGCGCGAAAGCGUGGGGAGCAAACAGG